CUACCACAUCCAAGGAAGGCAGCAGGCGCGCAAAUUACCCACUCCCGGCACGGGGAGGUAGUGACGAAAAAUAACGAUACGGGACUCUUUUGAGACCCCGUAAUCGGAAUGAGCGCGCUCCAAACCCUCACGCGAGGACCCAUUGGAGGGCAAGUCUGGUGCCAGCCGCCGCGGUAACUCCAGCUCCAAUAGCGUAUAUUAAAGUUGUUGCGGUUAAAAAGCUCGUAGUUGGAUCUCAGCUCAGGACGCGGGGUCCUCCAUCCGGAGGCAACCUCGCGCUCCGAGCAGUGCAGCCGGCUCCCGUCGGUGAUCUUAACCGGUUGCCGGGGGGUGGCCGGCGAGUUUACUUUGAAAAAAUUAGAGUGCUCAGAGCAGGCCUCCCAAGCCUGGAUAAUGGCGCAUGGAAUAAUGGAAUAGGACCUCGGUUCUAUUUUGUUGGUUUUAGGAUCACGAGGUAAUGAUUAAGAGGGACAGACGGGGGCAUUCGUAUUGCGGCGCUAGAGGUGAAAUUCUUGGACCGCCGCAAGACGAACCACUGCGAAAGCAUUUGCCAAGAAUGUUUCCAUUAAUCAAGAACGAAAGUCAGAGGUUCGAAGGCGAUCAGAUACCGCCCUAGUUCUGACCAUAAACGAUGCCAGCCAGCGAUCCGGCUGCGUUCCUCAAAUGACGCGCCGGGCAGCUUCCGGGAAACCAAAGCCUUUGGGUUCCGGGGGAAGUAUGGUU
Molecule: ribosomal RNA, 723 nt
Filed under: Eterosonycha alpina
Lineage: Eukaryota; Metazoa; Arthropoda; Arachnida; Araneae; Micropholcommatidae
Description: bacterial SSU rRNA
Rfam family: Eukaryotic small subunit ribosomal RNA
Source: RNAcentral